This 139-nucleotide ribosomal RNA is filed under the name uncultured Bacillus sp. RNAcentral describes it as "partial 16S ribosomal RNA". It matches the Rfam family "Bacterial small subunit ribosomal RNA", at positions 376 to 528 of the family's 1533-position model. Lineage: Bacteria; Bacillati; Bacillota; Bacilli; Caryophanales; Bacillaceae. The record is from RNAcentral.
GGGAACCCUGACGCAGCGACGCCGCGUGAAGGAAGAAGGCCUUCGGGUUGUAAACUUCUUUGAUCGGGGACGAAGGAAGACGGUACCCGAGGAACAAGCCACGGCUAAUUACGUGCCGGCAGCCGCGGUAAUUAAACUU